RNAcentral lists this ribosomal RNA (660 nucleotides) under uncultured Lachnospiraceae bacterium. RNAcentral's name for it is "bacterial SSU rRNA". It matches the Rfam family "Bacterial small subunit ribosomal RNA", at positions 63 to 724 of the family's 1533-position model. The record is from RNAcentral. Lineage: Bacteria; Bacillati; Bacillota; Clostridia; Lachnospirales; Lachnospiraceae.
CGAACGGGAAAUAUUUCAUUGAGACUUCGGUGGAUUUGAUCUAUUUCUAGUGGCGGACGGGUGAGUAACGCGUGGGUAACCUGCCUUAUACAGGGGGAUAACAGUCAGAAAUGGCUGCUAAUACCGCAUAAGCGCACAGAGCUGCAUGGCUCAGUGUGAAAAACUCCGGUGGUAUAAGAUGGACCCGCGUUGGAUUAGCUUGUUGGUGGGGUAACGGCCCACCAAGGCGACGAUCCAUAGCCGGCCUGAGAGGGUGAACGGCCACAUUGGGACUGAGACACGGCCCAGACUCCUACGGGAGGCAGCAGUGGGGAAUAUUGCACAAUGGGGGAAACCCUGAUGCAGCGACGCCGCGUGAAGGAAGAAGUAUCUCGGUAUGUAAACUUCUAUCAGCAGGGAAGAUAGUGACGGUACCUGACUAAGAAGCCCCGGCUAACUACGUGCCAGCAGCCGCGGUAAUACGUAGGGGGCAAGCGUUAUCCGGAUUUACUGGGUGUAAAGGGGGCGUAGACGGUGUGGCAAGUCUGAUGUGAAAGGCAUGGGCUCAACCUGUGGACUGCAUUGGAAACUGUCAUACUUGAGUGCCGGAGGGGUAAGCGGAAUUCCUAGUGUAGCGGUGAAAUGCGUAGAUAUUAGGAGGAACACCAGUGGCGAAGGCGG